GCUUCAUUUUCGACGCCGAGUUUUCGAUGCCAAGACGAAGGUAGGUGAAAGAGAAGACCCCUCGAACAAGAACGAGUCUCCAGAAGCGAUCGAGUCGAGCAGGAAGACGACUUUUGAAUUUCGCCGAGCGAGCGCUGAUGACGUAAUGAGGGAUUAGCUUGCCAGUGGAAAUGCAUCUGCGCACAUACAUUUCACAUACUUUUUGGCCAAUUUUCAAUCGAAGAGGACGUUGUUUUCUAUUUUCUCUCAACGUCGUGAGCGAUCCCGUCUUCUAUACCCUUCCAGGUACCCUGAAGGUCCUCCAGAGGAGAAUUUAUCUCCAGCGAAGCGUUGUUGAUCCGCUAAAUUCCUCUCGAGACAUAUUCACCCAGUGCAGUGCUGAUAAAUGUAGAAUGUUGAAUCUGUGAUAAUUGUUGACGAUGGAGAGAGAGGCUGAUAGCCGCUGUCGCAGGGAGAGUGAAGCUGCUGGAAGUAACAACGGGGCGCCCGUUUGUAUCACCUGAACAACCAGACUUCAAAGCAGCUUGACCAAAUCGGAGGGUGCCUCGCUGCUUAUCGUGAAUAUUACACCGACAUGAAUUACUACAAGUACACUGGUCUGUCCAAUAUGCAUUGACGGUAUUGGGUAUGGUAUCUGCUCUGAGAAGGGAAUCGCUGGAGCCACAGUCCAAUUAUACAGGCUUUCAAGAAACAGAGAGGAGCCAUCUUUCCAAGCUGAUACCUGAUGUGUACCGACGGAAUUCUCACGAGAUACCUUACGGGCUACGUGUGGUGUGUACUUCAUAGUACUCCUUCGACUACUAUCUAGAAUCAAGUCGACUGAAACAAGUUCAAACAACUCUGGCUUCAAACGAGCCGUCGAUUAGACAAACAAAACAUUCUCUCAUAUACUGGAGCACUCUGACAACUCACGACCUAUUCCUAACGAUUGCCACCGCUUAUAAAAUAUGUAGAGUGCUGAUUGGAAUGUGCUCACAAGCUCAACAAUUCAGUGCUAUAAUUAUUUGAACAAUGUGUUAGAAAUUAUUCCACUUUUCCUUUCAUAAAUGUUGUAUACACAUAUAAUCCACAGUGCUCCAAAGUUUCAGAGUUCUCAGGGUAGCAAACAAAAUUAUUUCAAAUACAGUGAAAUUGUUCAUGGACAUUAUAGCGUAGCUAAUUUACUUGUAGUUCCCUGGUCCUUUUCUUUGCUACAUGUAUAAAUUAAUCCUUUUCUCUCUA
Long non-coding RNA from Sycon ciliatum, 1221 nucleotides. RefSeq lists it as uncharacterized. Lineage: Eukaryota; Metazoa; Porifera; Calcarea; Leucosolenida; Sycettidae. The transcript is spliced from 2 exons. The record is from RefSeq and is a predicted model, not a curated record.